CCUACGGUUGGCAGCCGUGAGGACUAUUGGUCAAUGGGCGCGAGCCUUAACCAGCCAAGUAGCGUGAAGGAUGGCUUCCCUACGGGUUGUAAACUUCUUUUAUAACGGAAUAAAGUGAGUCACGUUUGCCUUUUUUUCUGUACUUUAUGAAUAAGGAUCGGCUAACUCCGUGCCAGCAGCCGCGGUAAUACGGAGGAUCCGAGCGUUAUCCGGAUUUCUUGGGUGUAAAGGGAGCGUAGAUGGGUUGUUAAGUCAGUUGUGAAAGUUUGCGGCUCAACCGUAAAAUUGCAAGUGAUACUGGCAGUCUUGAGUACAGUUGAGGUAGGCGGAAUUCGUGGUGUAGCGGUGAAAUGCUUAGAUAUCACGAAGAACUCCGAUUGCGAAGGCAGCUUACUAAACUGCCACUGACAUUGAUGCUCGAAAGUGUGGGUAUCAAACAGGAUUAGAUACCCUGGUAGUC
Molecule: ribosomal RNA, 460 nt
Filed under: uncultured bacterium
Lineage: Bacteria
Description: partial 16S ribosomal RNA
Rfam family: Bacterial small subunit ribosomal RNA
Source: RNAcentral